This is a long non-coding RNA of Oncorhynchus keta (chum salmon), 481 nucleotides long. RefSeq lists it as uncharacterized. Lineage: Eukaryota; Metazoa; Chordata; Actinopteri; Salmoniformes; Salmonidae. The transcript is spliced from 4 exons. The record is from RefSeq and is a predicted model, not a curated record.
UCCACAGCCAAAGUUCCUUGUUUGCAUACCCUGACAAAGGAUCCUAGUACACGGUGGUUGGGGUUACUCGGUCCCCAAAUCUGCACCAGUAAUGCUAGCUUGGUGUGCAACGACCAGAGGUUAGAUGACCAGUUUGCAGCCGGACAUGCAACAGAGAAGACCAGCAAGGGGACCCUCAGCAUCAUGCAGACUUUGCCCUCACUGUGAGAAUUCCAAUAAAUGGAACAAGUAGGACACUUGAAUAAGUUUCACUGAUGAGGGGCCAUGAGCUGACCGACGCUGCCAAACCCAUCAAUGGGGCGCUGGCUAAGACCUUACCGCCAGCCUCACCUCUUGUCUGCUCACCAACGGUCAUUGAUGGGGAGACCAGAAUUAGAAACAUGUAAAGCCAGCACAUGGAGACUUGCAAGAUGUGGUGAAGUCCAGACUGAUAGACAGGCGUGAUACUGAUAUCUCUAAAUGAAAGACCUGGCACUCGGCA